This is a long non-coding RNA of Branchiostoma belcheri (Belcher's lancelet), 587 nucleotides long. RefSeq lists it as uncharacterized. The record is from RefSeq and is a predicted model, not a curated record. Lineage: Eukaryota; Metazoa; Chordata; Leptocardii; Amphioxiformes; Branchiostomatidae. The transcript is spliced from 2 exons.
GUAUCGCCAGCUCAAAUUUCCACAGAGCAGCCACGAUGAACAGCCACGCUGCUAUUGGUCAGGACACUGCACUGCUACUCAGAUGCUGCAGCAAUACCUCAGUUUCGGUAGUAUGGGGAGGGCUACCUGCGUCUUUCCCUCGAUUUACCUGCAAAAACGUCAACUUUUACGUCUAUAUUCACUGCAUUUGUGUUGCUCUUACCUCUGGGGACAAGGGAAAGCACAGUUCAGAUCAUAUUUGAGGGGAUUUAAGCUCUGAGGACCAGUGCAUUUGCCAAAAAGGAGAAACUGAUCACACAGCAGGAGCUGGAGAUGUCUAUGCAUCACAUUCUGGAAUUCUUGGAAGUGCCAGCUUUACUUCUCAACGAGAACAUGAAUGCUUAGCCCUAUGUAACCCAAGCUCCGGGGGGCUCCCUACAUAGUCCGCCACCUUUUCAGGGGCCGGCUGGAUGUUGGGCGGCCGGCAAAAGCGAUUUAAUCAGGCUAAUGAAUGCUGAACCCUGACUUAUGUUAUAGUAAUUCUGAAAGGUUGUUUCUCCAAACGGUAGAAUAACUAGAACUUAGUAGAAGUAAAUUUUUAUGAUGAA